CCGGUGCUAACACACUGCAAGUCGAACGGAGCGAAUGAAAGCUUGCUUUUAUAAGCUUAUGGCAAACGGUGAGUAACACGUAGACAACCUGCCGACAGGAUGGGGACAACAUUCCGAAAGGAAUGCUAAUACCGAAUGAAGUGCAGGGGGGGCAUCUCCCCUGCAUGAAAGAUGGCCUCUGAAUAUGCUAUUACCUGUUGAUGGGUCUGCGUCUGAUUAGCUGGUAGGUGAGGUAACGGCUCACCUAGGCGACGAUCAGUAGCCGGUCUGAGAGGAUGAACGGCCACAUUGGGACUGAGACACGGCCCAGACUCCUACGGGAGGCAGCAGUGGGGAAUCUUCCGCAAUGGGCGCAAGCCUGACGGAGCAACGCCGCGUGAGUGAAGAAGGUCUUCGGAUCGUAAAGCUCUGUUGAUGGGGACGAACGUGCCUAAUGCGAAUAGUAUUAGGUAAUGACGGUACCCAUCGAGGAAGCCACGACUAACUACGUG
RNAcentral lists this ribosomal RNA (491 nucleotides) under uncultured Selenomonas sp. RNAcentral describes it as "bacterial SSU rRNA". It matches the Rfam family "Bacterial small subunit ribosomal RNA", at positions 43 to 507 of the family's 1533-position model. The record is from RNAcentral. Lineage: Bacteria; Bacillati; Bacillota; Negativicutes; Selenomonadales; Selenomonadaceae.